GACAGAGGUGCCGAGCGUUAGGCGGAAUCACUGGGCUUAAAGCGUGUGUAGGCGGGUCCGUAAGUACCUUGUGAAAUCCCACGGCUCAACCGUGGAACUGCUGGGUAUACUGCGGGUCUUGAGCCACUUAGGGGCAAGCGGAACAAACGGUGGAGCGGUGAAAUGCGUAGAUAUCGUUUGGAACGCCAAUGGUGAAAACAGACUGCUGGGGUUGUGCUGACGCUGAGACACGAAAGCCAGGGGAGCGAACGGG
This 253-nucleotide ribosomal RNA is filed under the name uncultured bacterium. RNAcentral describes it as "partial 16S ribosomal RNA". It matches the Rfam family "Bacterial small subunit ribosomal RNA", at positions 524 to 776 of the family's 1533-position model. The record is from RNAcentral.